This 248-nucleotide ribosomal RNA is filed under the name uncultured Lachnospiraceae bacterium. RNAcentral describes it as "partial 16S ribosomal RNA". It matches the Rfam family "Bacterial small subunit ribosomal RNA", at positions 524 to 772 of the family's 1533-position model. The record is from RNAcentral. Lineage: Bacteria; Bacillati; Bacillota; Clostridia; Lachnospirales; Lachnospiraceae.
CACGUAGGGGGCGAGCGUUAUCCGGAUUCAUUGGGCGUAAAGCGCGCGCAGGCGGCCGCCUAAGCGGGACCUCUAAUCCUGGGGCUCAACCUCAGGCUGGGUCCCGAACUGGGCGGCUCGGGUGCGGUAGGGGUAGGCGGAAUUCCCGGUGUAGCGGUGGAAUGCGCAGAUAUCGGGAAGAACACCGACGGCGAAGGCAGCCUACUGGGCCGUCACCGACGCUGAGGCGCGAAAGCUAGGGGAGCGAA